Molecule: long non-coding RNA, 2550 nt
Organism: Herpailurus yagouaroundi (jaguarundi)
Lineage: Eukaryota; Metazoa; Chordata; Mammalia; Carnivora; Felidae
Exons: 3
Source: RefSeq, a predicted model, not a curated record
AGUCAGUCUUUGAUGUACCAGUUGAGACUGAGAAGAUGAGAUGUGAGGGCAGUAAUCAGCCAUAGAGGAAGAUGAAUAAGGGAGAUUGUAAAACCAUGCAUCAGCCUGGCAGGGAAUACUCCAUGUUUAUUCAUCUCGACGUUAACACUGUUGAGUAUUAAACACUGCAAUAGAAAAUAAGUUCAUGGAGAUGGACGAGACAAAGCAUCUGUCUUGAUAGAUGUGAGAACAUGUGAUUUGUACCCAGCAGAGUGAAAGUGCCGUGACAGGAGGAGACGCAGAGGCCAUGGGAAACCAGAGCUGGGGGAGUGGAAAAGUCUCCAUUGAAGGAAACAGUUAACCACAAUCACACGGCAAGAGUUGGAAUUCUGGGACAGUGUGACCUAAGUUGUCCUCAGAGAAGGUGCUCAUUUGAGAAGAACAAGGAAUGAUGAGAGACAAGCCAGGAGGCAUCAGAAGGGUCAUAGCAUGGGCCUUGUAGCCAUGCUAAGACCAUCGGUUGCAUCCUGUAGUAGAAAGUGAACCCCAGAACACCAUGUGUGUCGAUGAAUGGAGGACAAAGUCUCAGACUUCUCAGAAGAUUCUGUAUCUACGACCUCACAAAUAUGUGGGCUUCUGUGGGAGGGUGGGGACCAAAGAAUAUGCUAAUCAAAUAUUAUAGUGUAUGUGGAGGCCUUAUGGUGGAAGAACAAUAUAGCACAUUGGAAAAAAGAAAAGGUUUUUUAAACCUGAAGCAAGAGACAGAAGGGGAUUCAUAAAAGAUAAGGUUCCUCCAGUUCUUGUCAUCUCACUUAAUUCUCAUGGAAAUUCUCUGAGGUCUUGGACUCCACCGAAUUACAUUCCAGCUUGCAAAUGGCAGAUUGUGGGACUUCUCGACCUCCGUCAUUGUAUGAGCCAAUUCCUAUGAUAAAGCUUCUCUCAUAUAUAUCUAUAGAUACCUUCCUGGUUCUGUUUCUCUGGAGAAACCUGACUAAUACAGGAAAAGCAUAUAAAUGAAAUCUUCUUAAAAAGGAACUUGGAAGGAAGACGUAAGCUUCCUAAGUAUCACCGAGAGCUUCCAGCCAGCGUCUUCCGAAUUGCCCUACCACACGCAGUUCUUUCUCCAGCUCUGGAACUCUCCUCCCUUACACACUCUGGCAGCCCUCCUCCCCGUGAGACAUCUUGUUCCAGAACAAGAGACACCUAAGAAAAAUAAAUUUACGUGUUGUGAAAACGGACAUACAUCCUUCAGGACUCACGAAAGCUGCCUCCCAGCCUUCCACGCCAUCACGUUGCCUGUGUGCUCUCCGGUGUGUUGAUCACGGUGUCCACAGGAAGAUGAUUCUCUUCAGCCUGAAGCUCGUUUGCCCAUGUGUAGGGCAUUGAAUGUUGGUUUCUCUGGGUUAAAUCACGGCGAGGAAGGCCUGCUGGGAGGACGCCGUGCAGAGCUGCAGUGACGUCCUCCACCACCGCCCUGCGUGACUCCACCUGUGACACGGCGCCAGCCUAGGGAGUCUCCCCGGAAUUACCUUCAAGAAAAUGCUGGGUUCAGGCCUCCUCUCCCUUCCCGUACUCUCAAAACCUGAGCCCUAAUUUUAAUUUUCUCUGAUGAACCUGAAAAGAUGCCCACUUUUGAUUCCUGAAAAGUUGUCCACAAGGAGUAAAAUAAUUCGAUUUAACGGAUGAAGAAGGACUUCUGGAAUCCACUUGCCCGCAUUUAGAAUGUUCCGUACCAGGGAAUAUCAAGGUACUCCCGUUUGGUUACAUCUGUGCCGACGAGGUAAUCGUGGUUUAAGGCAAACCUUCGGUUAUGAGCUAAUCAGUUCAGCUCGCUGACUAUUGGCCUGUUAUGGCAGGACAAGAAUAAUUAAGUGCCACUUAAAGGUAUGGGAAGAACGUUAGUCAGAAAUUGAUGUGCCUCCAGAAGGCUCCAAAUGGCCGACGUUUAAUGGUCCUCUGUACGUUGCCAUGGCAACUCACUUUGGUACCUCACAUAUCCUCAGUGUAAGAAAACAAGGGGCAGAGUGUUCUUAGGAAGGUGCAACCCCCUUUAAGCAGAUCUAGAAGCAUCGCAGAUGAACAGAACUUGAAACAUUCCGCCAUGAAUAUUCAUGAAGUAAGUUGUUUUUUGUUGCCUGCCUAGUCAGCAGUCACAAAACACAUGGUGUGUGUUGGCAGCAUCUUGCCUAGGUAGAGGGCUAUGGACUGAGGCAAUGGCAGCAACCAGGACCUGUGAGGCUGACUGACAUUUCCAUCUGUAGCGAAGGCUGGUAAUUAACAGGAAGGAGUAUGCCUGCAGCAUUGCACCAUCUGCUAGGGAAACGGCUCAAUAAGAAAGGAGCUGGAUAGCAUCUCAGCGGUGGCGCGAUCUGGUUCCGACAUGAGGCCGGGCAUCUGUUAGCUGAGGAGACGGACUAUUAGGGAAUUCGACUGGGAAUGAACAACAUGGAAAGCGCACUCUGACCUAGCCCAUAAAAGCAACUCUUUAGAAAUGGUGUCUUUUUAUCUUACUUACCCAAGCCUUCUGAAAAUGGUUUGCCAAGGGACUAUUACAGGUCUGUUUGAAGGAAC